RNAcentral lists this unclassified non-coding RNA (376 nucleotides) under uncultured Actinomycetes bacterium. RNAcentral describes it as "uncultured actinobacterium contains 16S-23S intergenic spacer region". Lineage: Bacteria; Bacillati; Actinomycetota; Actinomycetes. The record is from RNAcentral.
UCCGGUUUGUCACCGGCAGUCUCCUUAGAGUUCCCGCCAUUACGCGCUGGCAACUAAGGACAAGGGUUGCGCUCGUUGCGGGACUUAACCCAACAUCUCACGACACGAGCUGACGACAACCAUGCACCACCUGUGCAGGGCCCCGAAGGACACCGUAUCUCUACGGCUUUUCCCUGCAUGUCAAGCCCAGGUAAGGUUCUUCGCGUUGCAUCGAAUUAAAGAACAUGCUCCGCUGCUUGUGCGGGCCCCCGUCAAUUCCUUUGAGUUUUAGCCUUGCGGCCGUACUCCCCAGGCGGGGUGCUUAAUGCGUUAGCUGCGGCACGGAAGGAGUCGACACCUCCCACACCUAGCACCCAUCGUUUACGGCGUGGACUAC